AAUUAAAAAAAACGAAAAAAAAAUAAAAACUUUAAAACCGAGCAUAUAUAUGUUUGUCUUUUUGAAAAAAAAUAUCGAAAAAUUAAAACUAAACUAAAAUAAAUAAAUAAAUAAAAACCAAAAAAACGAAAAUAAAUAAUAAAACUUAUUUAAAUGAUGUUCCAUAGACGUUCGCCGCACGUGAUUAUUCCCUCAAAGUCGUAUUACGUUCCAUGGACAUGCGUUGCGUGCAAACACAUCACGACCAAGUAAAUGAGUUUGACGUUUGUGCACUUGUCGAAAUGAUUGGUGAAGAAUAAUCAUCGCGGCUUGUAAAAUCCCAAUGAUCAAGACCAAAAUUUUCAUUUUAAUUUAUUAAAUAGAACCAUAGUUAUCAAAAUCUUCUCAUCAAAAUGUAUAUCAUAGUAUCUCAAACAUCAUAUCAAAAACUCAUAUCAAUAUAUCAGAGUAAAAACAUCCCAGUCUAACAUAAUGGUGUCUGCACUAUAGUUAUCCCGAGCUCUUCUCUUUGCUACCGGAAGUACCUGAAACCAAAACUCAAAACUGUAAGCACGAAGCUUAGUGAGUCUCCCCAAACUACCACAUACCACACACAUAAUCACAUAAUAACAUAUCAUAAGCCCCAACCGCUUCAUCGAGCCCCGCCCGGCAUCAAGAAAAGCUCGGUAUACAUAUAAACAUAUUAACAAAUACACAUAAAUAAUCACCUAACAUAAACAUAUAAACAUUAAUCGUGCCCCGCCCGGCACCGAGCAAAGCUCGGUAUACAUAUAAACAUAUCAACAAAUACACAUAAAUAAUCACAUAACAUAAACAUAUAAACAUUCCUCGGACCCUGCCCGACAUCGGACCGAAAUCCGGAAGCAUACAAACAUUCCUUGGGCAUUGCCCAACAUCGGACCGUGAUCCGGAAACAUACAAAAUAGACACAUGCAAGAAUCACGAAGAAAUCAAGCAUACAAACAUUCCUCGGGCACCGCCUGACGUCGGAUCGAAACCUAGAAACCAGGGAUGUCAAAAAGUCCCGUGGGACCCCCGUCCUGUUUGGGGGAAUUUUUUAAAAAAAUUAAGGGCGGAGAUGGGGUCGGAGGCAAGGUUAACCCCCAUUUUAAUUUCGGGGGCGGGAGCGGGGGUAGGCAAUCCCGUCCCGAAACCCCCAUGGGGACCCCGUUAAUAAAUUACACAUAUAUAUUUACAUAUAUUAAUUAUAUAAAUAUAAUAAACGAUAACAUGAUUUUGAGCUUCCAAAAUUCAUCAAAAAAACAUGUUUUUAAGUUGUUAGUAUAUUGAUUCUAAGAUGUCAUAACUUUUUUAUUUUUAACAUGUAAAAUUUUGCUAUAAAUAAUUAUUCGUUACCUAAAAAAUAGCUUCUUUUAGCCUAAAUAAAAAUUUCUUUUAGCCCAAAAAAAGGAAGCCUAAAAUCAAUAGGGGGCGGGGGGUAAUAAAGGGGAUUCGGGGGCGGGGAUUGCACUCCCCGUCCUGUUUGUCCCCGUUAACAUCCCUACCGGAAACAUAUAAACCUACAUCGGACAUUGCCCGACAUCGGACCUUAGCCCGGAACAUACUAGCAUACAUAUACGGGCCGAAAUUGGUGCCUUCGGCCCGUUAUAUAGGAGGAAACUCUCCUCACACUGUUGAAGUCCCGCGAAUAAAUAUCUGGUUGCUGGCUGACAGAUCCCCUAACUGUCAACAUCAAAACAAUACCCAAUUAACCAUUUGGGUUUCAAUGCAUAACCAUAGACCCACACUUGAGGUAAAAGGAUCAUUUUACCCCUAACCUAGCUUGGUCCAAGACCAAGGCCCAACCUCAUACUCUGAAGGCCCAACAACCAAGGCCCAAUUAUGGCCCAAUUUUCCAAAUUAGGCCCAAACCCCUCACAUGGGCCUUACCCCAAAGCCCAUCCAAAUAUUCUAGUCCAUAUACUUGUUCUUGGAUGGCCCAUCAAUAGCCCAAUCACCAAAGCCCAACAGAAAGGCCCAAGCAAAAUUAGGGUUUUCACAUAAAAUGACGAUUUGGGUUAAGUGUUCUUACUUAACCAUUAAGGAAUUAAUCCAUUAAGUCCAUUACUCUACUAGGCCAACAUACAAUGUAAUCAGGCUUAAUUCAUAACUUCAAUCCAAUGGUCCAAAACACGGGUCCUGACAAAUCCAAAACUAACAUCUCCAAAAUUAGGGUUUUCUAAACCCUAAUUAGGGUUUCCACCCAAACACAAGUCAAUUAGUCCAAUGAUUAGGUUUUUAGGUCCAUUAGGGUUUCAUUAGGUCGAGCACCACCCACUGCCACCUCGGGUGGUGGUGGUCGACGGCGGAACACGGCGGCAACCACCACCUCAUGGCAGCGGUGGUGGUUUUUCCUUCAAUCCUUCCACCAAAAAUACUUAAACAAGUCCCAUUCUACUAAACACACUCACAACACCAUAACAUACACACAACCACCACCAUACGACGGCUGGUGGUGGGUUUUCCGGCCAAAUAUGGCUCAUACAACAACACAACCACCGAUAGCAACAUAUACAUUCGAAUGUACAUUCACCCAGCCACCUCGUAGAAGGUUGAGGUCGCCGGAAUUGACUACCACAACAACCCAAAUGCCACCGGCGCCAGCAAUGGCAUACAAGACGUCAAACACCGAGAGGGACGACAGAGAGAAGAGAGAGGUGGCGGUUAGGCUUACCGAAAAUUUCUUGGUUGCUCAUGUCCUACAACUUGCCGAUCAUAGCUCAAGGCUUCGGUCUUGGUGCUCUUCCGACUGCCAGUGACGUCCGACAGCGGGGUUAUGGAUGGCAGCGCUCGACGACGAGGUAGCAGCAAACAUGGUGGUGCUCGGACUCGGCUUGUAGGCGGCGCUGAGAAGGCUUCCAAGGUGGUGACGGGUGUAGAGAAUACGCUAGGGUUAGGGUUUCUCGAUGAUACCUCUUCAAACGGGAAGGGAAGGAACGAGUUUAAGUCCUAUGUUCUUCUAUCAAACUUUAACUCAUAUUUUACACUUUUGGUCCCUCCACCAUAAAGAUUUUCCAACUUAAGUCUAGAAUUUACCCUUUAGUCCCUGCUUCCAAAAAUCCUUUCAUAAUAAGUCCAAAAAUUACCAAUCAUGCCCUGACUUCUAAAAUCCUUUUCAAAUUAAAUCCAUAAUUUACCAAACCGCCCUCAACCUUUAAAAUUCUUUACAAACUAGUUCGAAAAUUACUCUGUUAACCCCCAAAGUCCAAAUUAUAUCAUUUAACCCCCGAAACCAACGUCUUGCUAAAUUGUUCUGAAUUUAGGGCUACUAUUCAUGUAUUAAUUUUAUUUAUUUAAUAAAAAAAUGUUACAAUUCUCCCCCACUUAAAUUAGAUUUCGCCCUUGAAAUCAUUCCUUACCAUUCCUGUCACGCCAAACAACUUGAGCGACAUGGCCACAAUCCCGAGCAUACCACAGCCUUCACAAAGUGACCGAAACCAACCUUCACAGGGUUCUAAAACCCGAAUAUGAAUUAAUUCCUUGCAUCAUGAUCACAUUUACCCAAUUUGAAAUCCAAAGUCUCGAUAUGGUCUGACUCCCUGACAGAUCGCCCAUAUAUAGUCAUUAUUGUUGAAUCCCUACAGAACACUGAUCUCAUUAUUGGCAAGUUUUCCGAAAUUUCAACUCACACUAUCCUCAAUCCAUACAGCCACUUGGGCUGUCUUCCUUCCUAACAAGGAUGCGAAAUUUAUCCCAGUUUCAAAACUGCUCCUACUUUUGAAUCCCUGGACGAUUCUCCCCCACUUAGAUUCGACUAAGUCUUCACAAUACGUGAAAAUUGAAGAAUCUUUGGACGAAUCCCUGACAGACCGCACAUAUAUAAUCAUUAUUGUUGAAUCCUUGCAGAACACUUAUACUUGACAGUAGGCUCAGAUAAUCCUUUGAGUAGGAGACUCAUCCCUGCAACGGUUAGACUCAGACGAGAGCUGUACAACAGGGUGAAAUCAAUUACUAUGAGAUUAUUCAAUCCCGCUGUGAGUGACUUAGCAUUACCCAAGCAAUCAGUUACCCAUCCAUACCUGAAAUCCUAAAAACCAAUACUGCCAAGCAUAUCUGGGUGGUGGCCUUCCCUUUCGGUCUAUUUCAACUGGAUACUGCCAAGCAUAUAUAGGUGUUGGCCUGCCCUUCAGUCUAUUUGAACUGGAUACUGUCGAGCAUAUCUGGGUGCUGGCCUCCCCUUCGGUCUAUUUCAACUGGAUACUAUCGAGCAUAUCUGGGUGCUGGGCUCUUCCAUGAUCCUACGAACUGACCUACCUGAGCCUAACUUAUCUGAAUGAACAUAUGAAUUCUUACGGCUUAUUCCGUAGUCUAACAACACUUUCUCACACUAUCUGACCACAUGAAGAAUGCUACGACUAUCCUGCAGUCUUACAUCACUUCCCACACUAUCUGGCUGCUAGUGAAUGCCACGGCUAUCCCGCAAUCUUACAACAUUUUCCACGCUGUCUCAAUCGCUGAUCGUAAUACCAAUCCGAACACAUCCAACAUCGAGCACACACACGAUCUAACAUCUUAAACCGAACUCAUGUCCUGACUGGAAUCCCUAACCUGAUUCCCUAAAGCCUAGUAUCAAACAUUCUAAGAGCGUGAUCUCAUUAUUGGCAAGUUUUCCGAACUUCCAACUCACAGUAUCCUUAAUCCAUAUAGCCGAUUGGGCUGUCUUCCUUCUUGACAAGGAUGUGAAACUUAUCCCAGUUUCAAAAUUGCUUAUGCUUCUAAAUCCUUGGACGAUUCUCCCCCAUGUAGAUUUAACUAAGUCUUCACAAUACGUGAAAAUUGAAAAUUUCCAAAUCCUUCUCACUUUCCAACGAUCGAUCCGAUGAUAACCAGGUCUUACCAACUAGUGCUCCAUUACUAGCAAAUCCCUAAAAGACCACACAACUUCUGAAUACUAGAUGAACACUUCCCAAAUCCCAGCGAAACUGAUAGCCCUUGAUGCUUGAAAUGAUACCACACUGGAAUCUUGAAGACCAAAAGACAGAUGCUCCAACCAAUACCUCCGCAACGAGCCACUUCCCUUGGCACUUCCAUUAGAUAAUCAAUAACAGUUACUAAAACCAACGAAUUCAAACGAUGUUGAAUAACCAUCCCGCGGAACCCUGAUCAUAGACCUUCCACAUAAUACCCCUGAACUGAUCUCGACCAUACACUAAGAUAAUACUGAACACUCCCAACCCGCAAAUAGGGAAAUAACCUUUCUCUAACCACUAAUAAUUCACGGCAUGCAAAUGGCAUAUGACAUCACUUGAAUACAUAACCCAAACACAAGUAGAGAAACAAACCCAGGGAUACACUUACCCAUCCCUUGGAACGAAAAACUCCAUCGUGUAGUUUCCCGCAAGUGUUGCACUAAAUCCGGCCCUACUGGCCUCUCAAAAGCUGAUCUGAAAUCUUGGAUCUCUUCCCGGGACCUUCCAAUAUAUGCACUUGAUCUAGUCUCCUCUUCCCAAUGUUCUCCAAAUCAAUCUCUCACUCUCGGGCUCUAGAAAUCAUAUCAUUUAGGGUCUCGCACCCCGAGAUACUCGCGAUCUCCCUGACAUCAUUCCGUUGUAUAUCAUAAUACAUUACCUUCUUCAUUUCCUCAUUUGCUACAUACCGCGAUACCAAAUAAGCUCUCUCUUGAGGCUUGGCAUUAAUAUCUGCCACAGCCUCAGUAGUUUGACGGAGAUCCAACAACUCUUGCGCCUCACUCGCAGGGGCAACUUCGCCCGAAAUCUGGUCGGAAAGUCAUCCCAUGACAUAGCAUUAACUUCUUCAUCACCCAACUCACUACCAACCUCUUCCCACCAAUCACUUGCCCUGUCCUUCAGGAGGCAGGAAGCAAGUUGGACCUUGUCCCCUUCGGGACUACGACUGGUACAAAAAGCGUUGGCAACAUUUGCUAACCAUCUGCUACUAGCAAUGGGGUCCUUAGCCCCAUGAUAAUCUGGAGCUCCACAAGCUCUGAACUCCUGAAACGUCAACAUAGACCUCCCCAUCAUGGUCACCAUUUCGGUGCAUAAUGCACCCAACCUCUCAUCACAAAUCUCCAAAAUGCCCUCCUUGACUGUAUCGAAGAUCACAGGAUUCUGGUCAAUGAUAUUGUGCGUAAUCUCAGAUGAGGUGGAUUCCCUCAUCUAACCUGCUAACCAUCAGGCUGCCCGGCUCUAGAGUCCGAGCCUGAUCCCUCGCCGGCACCAGAACUACCAUAUGGUCUACCACGUAGCGUCACCAUACUCAGAAAUAUACCACAACAACCAUCAAAAUACUCAUCAUAACUCAAUGGAUCUCACGCACUACAAGUUCUAUGGGUUUAUCUCAACCUUCCUUGAUUCGGGUAUGGAUCCUCUGCUUUCAGUAGUAUGGGCCUAUACUACCUUCCACAUCUAUCCGUAAUUUCCUCAAGAACUGCCUUGACUCCACCAAGUCCCUUUCACUACUACUGCUUUCCGCGCUAAUCUCAUCAUAGGCUUUCCUUAGGGUAAUCUUCGUCCCACUCUCCACCAUCAGCUGCGUAAAAAGUCCCUGAUACCUUUCCCUAACUAGCUCGCGAAUACCAUUACAUAUUACUAAGACCAAAUAAUUCUUUGAAUGAGAGGUCUCUACCUACAACGGUUAGACUCAAACGAGAGUUACCAAAUAGGGCUAAACCUAACCUUCUGAAAUUAUUUAGUCCUCAUAAUAUGUAACUUAUCAUAUUCGUUUACUAGUUAGUUAAAGAUAUCUAGAACUCCUAAAAGUACAAAGCAAGCAGUAUUCGAGCAUUGAGUAACCCAAACCCAUCAUAUCUUAAUCAUGCCAUCAUAUCACUAACUAAUCAGUACUAGCAUGCAGUUCAAUAAGCUCGUACAAUGGGCAUUCAAGACAUCAUUCCUAGAUCCUUAGCCCAAAUCUAACAUGCAGUUCUCAUAAUCAUAUCAUAUCAUAACAAACGUGUAUGGUUAAUUUGGGAGAACUUACUUGAGCUGGGAUGAUUGCAUGCACCACACCCUUUUCUCUUUUUGAAAUCCCUUUUAUAGAAAUGAUUUUCUUUUGAAAAUUUUCAUACCAAGUCCUCGGUUUGAGUUCAGACACACCCGAGAGUGUGCCCGAAUCCCUCAUACCAAGGCUCUGAUACCAACUUGUAACAUCCCAAUAAUCAAGACCAAAAAUUUCAUUUUAAUUUAUUAAAUAAAAUCAUAGUUAUCAAAAUCUUCUCAUCAAAAUGUAUACAUAGUAUCUCAAACAUCAUAGCAAAAUCUCAUAUCAAUAUAUCAGAGUAAAAACAUCCCAGGCUAACAUAAUGGUGUGUGCACUAUAGUCAUCCCAAGCUCUUCCCUUACUACCAGAAGUACUUGAAAACAAAAUUGAAAACUAUAAGCACGAAGCUUAGUGAGUCUCCCCAAACUACAACAUACCAUACACAUAAUCACAUAAUCACAUAAUAACAUAUUAUGGGCCCCGCCCGCUUCAUCGGGUCCCGCCCGACAUCGGACAAUGUCCGACAUCGGGCCCUGCCCGACAUCGGACAAAAAUCCAGCAUCGGGCCCCGCCCGGCAUCGAGCAAAGCUCGGUAUACAUAUAAACAUAUCAAAAAAAUACACAUAAACAAUCACCUAACAUAAACAUAGAAACAUUCCUCGGGCCCCGCCUGACAUCAGACCGAAAUCCGGCAUUGGGUCCCGCUCGACAUCGAGCAAAGCUCGGUAUACAUAUAAACAUAUCAAAAAAUCCACAUAAAUAAUCACAUAACAUAAACAUAUAAACAUUCCUCAGGCCACACCCGUCAUCGAGCAAAACUCUGUAUACAUAUAAACAUAUCACCAAAUACACAUAAAUAAUCACAUAACAUAAACAUAUAAACAUUCCUCGGGCCCCGACCGACAUCGAACCGAAAUCCGGUAGCAUACAAACAUUCCUCGAGCAUUUCCCGACAUUGUACCAUGAUCCGAAAACAUACAAAAUAGACACAUGCAAAAAUCACGAAGACAUCAAGCAUACAAACAUUCCUCGGGCACCGCCCGACAUCGGAUCGAAACCUGGAAACAUAUAAACCUACAUCGGGCAUUGGCCGACAUCAGACCUUGGACCAGAACAUACUAGCAUACAUAUACGGGCCGAAAUUGGUGCCUUCGACCCGUUCAUACAGGAGGAAACUCACCUCACACUGCUGAAGUCCCGCGAAUAAAUAUCUGGUUGCUGGCUGACAGGUCCCCAAACUAUCAACAUCAAAACAAAGCCCAAUUAACCAUUUGGGUUUCAAUGCAUAACCAUAAACCCACACUUGGGGUAAAAUGACCAUUUUACCCCUAACCUAUCUUGGUCCAAGACCAAGACCCAAACUCAUACUCUGAAGGCCCAACAACCAAAUAAACAACCAAUGCCCAAUUAUGGCCUAAUUUUCCAAAUUGGGCCCAAACCCCUCACAUGGGCCUUACCCCAAAGCCCAUCCAAAU
Molecule: long non-coding RNA, 8414 nt
Filed under: Lactuca sativa (garden lettuce)
Lineage: Eukaryota; Viridiplantae; Streptophyta; Magnoliopsida; Asterales; Asteraceae
Description: long non-coding RNA (LSAT_LNC005630)
Source: RNAcentral